This 432-nucleotide long non-coding RNA is filed under the name Helianthus annuus (common sunflower). RNAcentral describes it as "sRNA HanXRQr2_Chr16g0751011". The record is from RNAcentral. Lineage: Eukaryota; Viridiplantae; Streptophyta; Magnoliopsida; Asterales; Asteraceae.
CUCCCGGAACCCACUAAGUUAACUAGGUAAAAUUAACCUAGUUAGUAAUGAGUAACUAAAUAAUAAACUAUGGGUUAUAGUUUCAUUUAUGAAUCUCUAAACUUGAGGGGCUAAACAUGGGCAACUAGAGAAGUGUUUUAUUAAAACACUUAAAUAAAAAAAAACACACAUACAUGUGUGUACGUAUGCGAUCAGAAGAAGGAGCCAGGAGAGCUCAAACCCUAGUUCAACAAAUCCUCCAAAUCGAAGCUCAAAUCAAGCCCGAAUCGUCUGCAUGAUUACAAAUUCGUGAUCGCCUAGUCGUGGGGAUCAUAAGGUGUACCUUAUAUGCUUGCGAAGCUGACUCUAAACAAGCUAGGUGGGAGCUUGAAAAGGAACGGGUCAAACGGAUCAUGGAUGCGAAGAAUGUUUGCGCGGACGCGAGGUAAGUAA